CAAUAGCGUAUAUUAAAGUUGUUGCAGUUAAAAAGCUCGUAGUUGGAUUUCUGGUGGGAGCGAUCGGUCUGGCGCUUAGCGCGAGUACUUGCAUCGUCUCCGGCCAUCCUUGGGGAGAGUCUGUCUGGCAUUAAGUUGUCGGGCAGAGUAUCCUCAUCGUUUACUGUGAAAAAAUUAGAGUGUUCAAAGCAGGCUUAUGCCGUUGAAUAUAUUAGCAUGGAAUAAUAAGAUAGGACUUUGGUGCUAUUUUGUUGGUUUGCGCACCAAAGUAAUGAUUAAUAGGGACAGUUGGGGGUAUUCGUAUUCCGUUGUCAGAGGUGAAAUUCUUGGAUUUACGGAAGACGAACUACUGCGAAAGCAUUUACCAAGGAUGUUUUCAUUAA
Molecule: ribosomal RNA, 383 nt
Filed under: uncultured eukaryote
Lineage: Eukaryota
Description: partial 18S ribosomal RNA
Rfam family: Eukaryotic small subunit ribosomal RNA
Source: RNAcentral